RNAcentral lists this ribosomal RNA (497 nucleotides) under uncultured bacterium. RNAcentral's name for it is "partial 16S ribosomal RNA". It matches the Rfam family "Bacterial small subunit ribosomal RNA", at positions 28 to 507 of the family's 1533-position model. The record is from RNAcentral.
GAUGAACGCUGGCGGCGUGCCUAAUACAUGCAAGUCGAGCGAACAGAUGAGGAGCUUGCUCCUCUGACGUUAGCGGCGGACGGGUGAGUAACACGUGGAUAACCUACCUAUAAGACUGGGAUAACUUCGGGAAACCGGAGCUAAUACCGGAUAAUAUAUUGAACCGCAUGGUUCAAUAGUGAAAGACGGUUUUGCUGUCACUUAUAGAUGGAUCCGCGCCGCAUUAGCUAGUUGGUAAGGUAACGGCUUACCAAGGCAACGAUGCGUAGCCGACCUGAGAGGGUGAUCGGCCACACUGGAACUGAGACACGGUCCAGACUCCUACGGGAGGCGGCAGUAGGGAAUCUUCCGCAAUGGGCGAAAGCCUGACGGAGCAACGCCGCGUGAGUGAUGAAGGUCUUCGGAUCGUAAAACUCUGUUAUUAGGGAAGAACAAAUGUGUAAGUAACUAUGCACGUCUUGACGGUACCUAAUCAGAAAGCCACGGCUAACUACGUG